UUUAUGGGAUUCUAGUGAAAACAAAUGGCAAAAAAAAGAAGUGAGUGCUAUAUAAAUAAUGUAGUUAGUUGUGCAAGAAAUAUUUUGUGAUGCAAGAAAAAUGGAGCACCCUUAGAAGUCACGAGCGGCGGAUCGGAUAGUAAUUGAAAGGUUCAGACCAAUGUUUUUAUUCGUAUUGGAAAGCAAAAUGAAGCUGCUUUGGAAAUAAUUUUGCAAUUGAAAUCAGUCGGAGCCCCUGACAAAUCUAGUGUUCAUUGGUUGAAGUUAAUAAUCUGAGGAAACUCAUUCAUUAACACAAUAACUAGGUUUGAGUGUCAUAUUGCUUUAAGACAGUUUACAAUGUUUUUAUAUUUCUUCAAAUGCUUUCAUCUGACAUCAUCACUGUCAUUUUAAGACUGUAAAAGUGAUUUUGAUUGGUGGCCAUCAAAUGAAAAAGCGACAUGUCUCAUUAAAUAUCGAGCAUUUAGUAAAUAUUCCAAAGAUGUCUGAAGCAUUCUGAGGCUGUCUGAAAAAUAUACUGAAGAUUCUUAAAACAGAUUUGAAUUUGCCAUCGACGUCAUCGCACUUUGGAUGAAUGCGGCGCUUUAAAUAUUUUACUUGAUUUAUAUAAAAAAUUAAGAAACCC
Ctenocephalides felis (cat flea) is the source of this 625-nucleotide long non-coding RNA. RefSeq lists it as uncharacterized. Lineage: Eukaryota; Metazoa; Arthropoda; Insecta; Siphonaptera; Pulicidae. The transcript is spliced from 4 exons. The record is from RefSeq and is a predicted model, not a curated record.